Molecule: ribosomal RNA, 720 nt
Filed under: Streptomyces cellulosae
Lineage: Bacteria; Bacillati; Actinomycetota; Actinomycetes; Kitasatosporales; Streptomycetaceae
Description: bacterial SSU rRNA
Rfam family: Bacterial small subunit ribosomal RNA
Source: RNAcentral
GGUAGCCGGCCUGAGAGGGCGACCGGCCACACUGGGACUGAAACACGGCCCAGACUCCUACGGGAGGCAGCAGUGGGGAAUAUUGCACAAUGGGCGAAAGCCUGAUGCAGCGACGCCGCGUGAGGGAUGACGGCCUUCGGGUUGUAAACCUCUUUCAGCAGGGAAGAAGCGAAAGUGACGGUACCUGCAGAAGAAGCGCCGGCUAACUACGUGCCAGCAGCCGCGGUAAUACGUAGGGCGCGAGCGUUGUCCGGAAUUAUUGGGCGUAAAGAGCUCGUAGGCGGCUUGUCGCGUCGGUUGUGAAAGCCCGGGGCUUAACCCCGGGUCUGCAGUCGAUACGGGCAGGCUAGAGUUCGGUAGGGGAGAUCGGAAUUCCUGGUGUAGCGGUGAAAUGCGCAGAUAUCAGGAGGAACACCGGUGGCGAAGGCGGAUCUCUGGGCCGAUACUGACGCUGAGGAGCGAAAGCGUGGGGAGCGAACAGGAUUAGAUACCCUGGUAGUCCACGCCGUAAACGGUGGGCACUAGGUGUGGGCGACAUUCCACGUCGUCCGUGCCGCAGCUAACGCAUUAAGUGCCCCGCCUGGGGAGUACGGCCGCAAGGCUAAAACUCAAAGGAAUUGACGGGGGCCCGCACAAGCGGCGGAGCAUGUGGCUUAAUUCGACGCAACGCGAAGAACCUUACCAAGGCUUGACAUACACCGGAAAACCCUGGAGACAGGG